This 305-nucleotide ribosomal RNA is filed under the name uncultured bacterium. RNAcentral describes it as "bacterial SSU rRNA". It matches the Rfam family "Bacterial small subunit ribosomal RNA", at positions 334 to 654 of the family's 1533-position model. The record is from RNAcentral.
GGUGCCUACGGGCGCAGCAGUGGGGAAUAUUGCACAAUGGGCGAAAGCCUGAUGCAGCAACGCCGCGUGAAGGAAGAAGGGUUUCGGCUCGUAAACUUCUAUCAACAGGGACGAAAGAAAUGACGGUACCUGAAUAAGAAGCCCCGGCUAACUACGUGCCAGCAGCCGCGGUAAUACGUAGGGGGCAAGCGUUAUCCGGAAUUACUGGGUGUAAAGGGUGAGUAGGCGGCAUGGUAAGCCAGAUGUGAAAGGCUUGGGCUUAACCCAAGGAUUGCAUUUGGAAAUAUCAAGGUAGAGUAAAGGAG